AUACUUACCAUGCAGGGGAGCUAACAUCACAACAGUACUUGUCCCAGGGUGAGGCUUAUCCAUUGCGCUCCAGAUGUACUGACCCCUGCAAUUUCCCCAAAUGUGGGAAACUCAACUGCAUAAUUUUCAGUAGUGGGGAACUGCAUUCACACUUUCCUC
This 159-nucleotide small nuclear RNA is filed under the name Dasypus novemcinctus (nine-banded armadillo). Its description in RNAcentral is "U1 spliceosomal RNA (ENSDNOG00000027931.1)". It matches the Rfam family "U1 spliceosomal RNA". Rfam says of the family: U1 is a small nuclear RNA (snRNA) component of the spliceosome (involved in pre-mRNA splicing). Its 5' end forms complementary base pairs with the 5' splice junction, thus defining the 5' donor site of an intron. Lineage: Eukaryota; Metazoa; Chordata; Mammalia; Cingulata; Dasypodidae. The record is from RNAcentral.